GUGUAGUUGACCGCAAAAAUUGUGGAAGAUUCUGCAGCCACAUGUCGCCUCCAACAGAAUUAAUGAAAAAGUCCAUCAUCCUGUUUGCAGAGCAUACACCCUCAAAGACUUUAUAGUGGGUUAGGUGGUGGGAAUGUGGAGUUGUAAGGGGUGCACAGAAACUGUGUCAAGUAGGUCCAAGCUUUUGCAUCACUACAAGUUAAAGCAUGUACAUAUCUGCAUUGUCCCUGCACAUUUAAGAUAUGGAAUGCUCUUAUUGUCCACCAAAGUAAAAUCCACUCCACAGGGGUCACUCGC
Molecule: long non-coding RNA, 297 nt
Organism: Anguilla anguilla (European eel)
Lineage: Eukaryota; Metazoa; Chordata; Actinopteri; Anguilliformes; Anguillidae
Exons: 3
Source: RefSeq, a predicted model, not a curated record